GUUAUAUGGUCAAGCGAAUAAGCGCACACGGUGGAUGCCUAGGCGGUCAGAGGCGAUGAAGGACGUGGUAGCCUGCGAAAAGUGUCGGGGAGCUGGCAACAAGCUUUGAUCCGGCAAUAUCCGAAUGGGGAAACCCACUGCUUCGGCAGUAUCCUGCAGUGAAUUCAUAGCUGCUGGAAGCGAACCCGGUGAACUGAAAUAUCUAAGUAACCGGAGGAAAAGAAAUCAACCGAGAUUCCCUAAGUAGUGACGAGCGAACGGGGAACAGCCCUUAAGCUGGAAUGGCUUUAGAAAAACAAUCUGGAAAGAUUGGCCAUAGAAGGUGAUAGCCCUGUAUUUAAAAGGGCCACUCCAGUGAAGACGAGUAGGGCGGGGCACGUGAAACCCUGUCUGAAUAUGGGGGGACCAUCCUCCAAGGCUAAAUACUCCUGACCGACCGAUAGUGAACCAGUACCGUGAGGGAAAGGCGAAAAGAACCCCGGAGAGGGGAGUGAAAUAGAUCCUGAAACCGUGUGCGUACAAGCAGUAGGAGCUCGCAAGAGUGACUGCGUACCUUUUGUAUAAUGGGUCAGCGACUUACUGUUCGUGGCAAGCUUAACCGUAUAGGGGAGGCGAAGGGAAACCGAGUCUGAUAAGGGCGCAUAGUCGCGGGCAGUAGACCCGAAACCGGGUGAUCUAGUCAUGGCCAGGGUGAAGGUGCCGUAACAGGUACUGGAGGCCCGAACCCACGUCUGUUGCAAAAGACGGGGAUGAGCUGUGAUUAGGAGUGAAAAGCUAAUCGAACCCGGAGAUAGCUGGUUCUCCUCGAAAGCUAUUUAGGUAGCGCCUCGGACGAAUACUACUGGGGGUAGAGCACUGUUAUGGCUAGGGGGUCAUCGCGACUUACCAAACCAUUGCAAACUCCGAAUACCAGUACGUACUAUCCGGGAGACACACGGCGGGUGCUAACGUCCGUCGUGAAAAGGGAAACAACCCAGACCCACAGCUAAGGUCCCAAAUUCACUGCUAAGUGGAAAACGAUGUGGAAAGGCACAGACAGCCAGGAGGUUGGCUUAGAAGCAGCCACCCUUUAAAGAAAGCGUAAUAGCUCACUGGUCGAGUCGGUCUGCGCGGAAGAUUUAACGGGGCUAAGCAGUGAACCGAAGCUUGGGGUGCAUAAAACUUGUUUUAUGCGCGGUAGAGGAGCGUUCCGUAAGCCUGCGAAGGUGGAUUGAGAAGUCUGCUGGAGGUAUCGGAAGUGCGAAUGCUGACAUGAGUAACGAUAAUGCGGGUGAAAAGCCCGCACGCCGAAAGCCCAAGGUUUCCUUGCGCAACGUUAAUCGACGCAGGGUUAGUCGGUCCCUAAGGCGAGGGCGAAAGCCGUAGUCGAUGGGAAGCAGGUUAAUAUUCCUGCACCUCGCGUGAGUGCGAUGGAGGGACGGAGAAGGUUAGGUGUACCGGGCGUUGGUUGUCCCGGGGAAAGGCGGUAGGUUUGAAUCUUUGGCAAAUCCGGGAUUCUUUAAGACCGAGCACCGAGACGAGCCUUUAUGGCGAAGUCACUGAUACCACGCUUCCAGGAAAAGCUCCUAAGCUUCAGCUCACGAAGACCGUACCGUAAACCGACACAGGUGGGUAGGAUGAGAAUUCUCAGGCGCUUGAGAGAACUCGGGUGAAGGAACUAGGCAACAUGGCACCGUAACUUCGGGAGAAGGUGCACCCUUUUUGGUGGCUCAUGCGAGCUAUAGCUGAAGAGGGUCGCAGAAACCAGGCCGCUGCGACUGUUUAUCAAAAACACAGCACUCUGCAAACACGAAAGUGGACGUAUAGGGUGUGACGCCUGCCCGGUGCUGGAAGGUUAAUUGAUGGGGUCAGCCGCAAGGCGAAGCUCUUGAUCGAAGCCCCAGUAAACGGCGGCCGUAACUAUAACGGUCCUAAGGUAGCGAAAUUCCUUGUCGGGUAAGUUCCGACCUGCACGAAUGGCGUAACGACAGCGGCGCUGUCUCCACCCGAGACUCAGUGAAAUUGAAAUCGCUGUGAAGAUGCAGCGUUCCCGUGGCAAGACGGAAAGACCCCGUGAACCUUUACUAUAGCUUUACACUGAACGUUGAGUUCGUCUGUGUAGGAUAGGUGGGAGGCUAUGAAACUGUGGCGCUAGCUGCAGUGGAGCCAUCCUUGAAAUACCACCCUGUCGUGCUUGACGUUCUAACCUAGAUCCGUUAUCCGGAUCAGGGACCGUGUAUGGUGGGUAGUUUGACUGGGGCGGUCUCCUCCUAAAGAGUAACGGAGGAGCACGAAGGUACGCUCAGCGCGGUCGGACAUCGCGCACUGUGUGCAAAGGCAUAAGCGUGCUUGACUGCAAGAUCGACGGAUCAAGCAGGUACGAAAGUAGGUCUUAGUGAUCCGGUGGUUCUGUAUGGAAGGGCCAUCGCUCAACGGAUAAAAGGUACUCCGGGGAUAACAGGCUGAUACCGCCCAAGAGUUCAUAUCGACGGCGGUGUUUGGCACCUCGAUGUCGGCUCAUCACAUCCUGGGGCUGUAGUCGGUCCCAAGGGUAUGGCUGUUCGCCAUUUAAAGUGGUACGCGAGCUGGGUUCAGAACGUCGUGAGACAGUUCGGUCCCUAUCUGCCAUGGGCGUUGGAAGUUUGAGAGGGGCUGCUCCUAGUACGAGAGGACCGGAGUGGACGAACCUCUGGUGUUCCGGUUGUCACGCCAGUGGCAUUGCCGGGUAGCUAUGUUCGGAAGCGAUAACCGCUGAAAGCAUCUAAGCGGGAAGCGCGCCUCAAGAUGAGACUUCCCGGGGCACAAGCCCCCUAAAGGAACCAUAUAGACUAUGUGGUUGAUAGGUCAGGUGUGUAAGUACAGCAAUGUAUUGAGCUAACUGAUACUAAUGAUCCGUGCGGCUUGACCAUAUAACCU
This 2895-nucleotide ribosomal RNA is filed under the name Xanthomonas dyei. RNAcentral's name for it is "bacterial LSU rRNA". It matches the Rfam family "Bacterial large subunit ribosomal RNA". Lineage: Bacteria; Pseudomonadati; Pseudomonadota; Gammaproteobacteria; Lysobacterales; Lysobacteraceae. The record is from RNAcentral. RNAcentral also lists the same sequence under 1 other name.